RNAcentral lists this ribosomal RNA (271 nucleotides) under uncultured bacterium. RNAcentral's name for it is "partial 16S ribosomal RNA". It matches the Rfam family "Bacterial small subunit ribosomal RNA", at positions 83 to 354 of the family's 1533-position model. The record is from RNAcentral.
CUCCGCCGGCGACCGGCGCACGGGUGAGUAACACGUAUGCAACCUGCCCCUGUCAGGGGACAACCCGCCGAAAGGCGGGCUAAACCCGCGUACAUGCCACCGGGGCAUCCCGGAGGCAGGAAAGGCUUCGGCCGGACAGGGAUGGGCAUGCGGCGCAUUAGGCAGUAGGCGGGGUAACGGCCCACCUAACCGACGAUGCGUAGGGGUUCUGAGAGGAAGGUCCCCCACAUUGGAACUGAGACACGGACCAGACUCCUACGGAAGGCAGCAG